RNAcentral lists this ribosomal RNA (468 nucleotides) under uncultured bacterium. RNAcentral describes it as "partial 16S ribosomal RNA". It matches the Rfam family "Bacterial small subunit ribosomal RNA", at positions 28 to 507 of the family's 1533-position model. The record is from RNAcentral.
GACGAACGCUGGCGGCGUGCUUAACACAUGCAAGUCGAACGGAAAGGCCCUGCUUUUGUGGGGUGCUCGAGUGGCGAACGGGUGAGUAACACGGGAGUAACCUGCCCUUGACUUUGGGAUAACUUCAGGAAACUGGGGCUAAUACCGGAUAGGAGCUCCUGCUGCAUGGUGGGGGUUGGAAAUUUUCGGCGGUUGGGGAUGGACUCGCGGCUUAUCAGCUUGUUGGUGGGGUAGUGGCUUACCAAGGCUUUGACGGGUAGCCGGCCUGAGAGGGUGACCGGCCACAUUGGGACUGAGAUACGGCCCAGACUCCUACGGGAGGCAGCAGUGGGGAAUAUUGCACAAUGGGCGGAAGCCUGAUGCAGCAACGCCGCGUGCGGGAUGACGGCCUUCGGGUUGUAAACCGCUUUCGCCUGUGACGAAGCGUGAGUGACGGUAAUGGGUAAAGAAGCACCGGCUAACUACGUG